GGUAGAGAUUCUUCGGAAUCUUGAGAGCGGCGCACGGGUGCGGAACACGUGUGCAACCUGCCUUUAUCAGGGGGAUAGCCUUUCGAAAGGAAGAUUAAUACCCCAUAAUAUAUUAGAUGGCAUCAUUUGAUAUUGAAAACUCCGGUGGAUAAAGAUGGGCACGCGCAGGAUUAGAUAGUUGGUAGGGUAACGGCCUACCAAGUCAACGAUCCUUAGGGGGCCUGAGAGGGUGAUCCCCCACACUGGUACUGAGACACGGACCAGACUCCUACGGGAGGCAGCAGUGAGGAAUAUUGGACAAUGGGUGAGAGCCUGAUCCAGCCAUCCCGCGUGAAGGACGACGGCCCUAUGGGUUGUAAACUUCUUUUGUAUAGGGAUAAACCUACUCUCGUGAGAGUAGCUGAAGGUACUAUACGAAUAAGCACCGGCUAACUCCGUGCCAGCAGCCGCGGUAAUACGGAGGGUGCAAGCGUUAUCCGGAUUUAUUGGGUUUAAAGGGUCCGUAGGCUGAUUUGUAAGUCAGUGGUGAAAUCUCACAGCUCAACUGUGAAACUGCCAUUGAUACUGCAAGUCUUGAGUGUUGUUGAAGUAGCUGGAAUAAGUAGUGUAGCGGUGAAAUGCAUAGAUAUUACUUAGAACACCAAUUGCGAAGGCAGGUUACUAAGCAACAACUGACGCUGAUGGACGAAAGCGUGGGGAGCGAACAGGAUUAGAUACCCUGGUAGUCCACGCCGUAAACGAUGCUAACUCGUUUUUGGGUUUUCGGAUUCAGAGACUAAGCGAAAGUGAUAAGUUAGCCACCUGGGGAGUACGUUCGCAAGAAUGAAACUCAAAGGAAUUGACGGGGGCCCGCACAAGCGGUGGAUUAUGUGGUUUAAUUCGAUGAUACGCGAGGAACCUUACCAAGGCUUAAAUGGGAAUUGACAGGUUUAGAAAUAGACUUUUCUUCGGACAAUUUUCAAGGUGCUGCAUGGUUGUCGUCAGCUCGUGCCGUGAGGUGUUAGGUUAAGUCCUGCAACGAGCGCAACCCCUGUCACUAGUUGCCAUCAUUCAGUUGGGGACUCUAGUGAGACUGCCUACGCAAGUAAAAA
RNAcentral lists this ribosomal RNA (1091 nucleotides) under Chryseobacterium shigense. Its description in RNAcentral is "bacterial SSU rRNA". It matches the Rfam family "Bacterial small subunit ribosomal RNA", at positions 68 to 1168 of the family's 1533-position model. Lineage: Bacteria; Pseudomonadati; Bacteroidota; Flavobacteriia; Flavobacteriales; Weeksellaceae. The record is from RNAcentral.